GGAUGUAGCUCAGUUGGUAGAGUACUCGCCUUGCAUGCAUAAGGCCCUGGGUUUAAUCCCCAGCACCA
Molecule: transfer RNA, 68 nt
Filed under: Marmota monax (woodchuck)
Lineage: Eukaryota; Metazoa; Chordata; Mammalia; Rodentia; Sciuridae
Description: tRNA.Ala
Rfam family: tRNA
About the family: Transfer RNA (tRNA) molecules are approximately 80 nucleotides in length. Their secondary structure includes four short double-helical elements and three loops (D, anti-codon, and T loops).
Source: RNAcentral